GAUAGUGAACCAGUACCGUGAGGGAAAGGCGAAAAGAACCCCGGCGAGGGGAGUGAAAAAGAACCUGAAACCGUGUACGUACAAGCAGUGGGAGCACAGGUUUACCUGUGUGACUGCGUACCUUUUGCCAGAAACCGGCUGUUUGAUGUAUCAGUUUUCCCGCACUGACCAGCAAUAGACGUAGACUGUCGCGACCAUAAAUUGUCGCGUGGGGAAUGCUACUCAUCAGACGAUACCGCUCGGAACCGCCAUUU
Molecule: ribosomal RNA, 254 nt
Filed under: Salmonella enterica subsp. enterica serovar Anatum
Lineage: Bacteria; Pseudomonadati; Pseudomonadota; Gammaproteobacteria; Enterobacterales; Enterobacteriaceae
Description: partial 23S ribosomal RNA
Rfam family: Bacterial large subunit ribosomal RNA
Source: RNAcentral